UACAGAGGGUGCGAGCGUUAAUCGGAAUUACUGGGCGUAAAGCGCACGUAGGUGGCGACGUAAGUCGGGUGUGAAAGCCCCGGGCUCAACCUGGGAAUUGCAUUCGAGACUGCAUUGCUGGAGUACGGAAGAGGAAGGCGGAAUUCCCGGUGUAGCGGUGAAAUGCGUAGAUAUGUGGAGGAACACCAAUGGCGAAGGCAGCCCCCUGGGUCAACACUGACGCUCAUGCACGAAAGCGUGGGGAGCAAACAGG
This 253-nucleotide ribosomal RNA is filed under the name uncultured bacterium. Its description in RNAcentral is "partial 16S ribosomal RNA". It matches the Rfam family "Bacterial small subunit ribosomal RNA", at positions 524 to 776 of the family's 1533-position model. The record is from RNAcentral.